This 505-nucleotide ribosomal RNA is filed under the name uncultured bacterium. RNAcentral's name for it is "bacterial SSU rRNA". It matches the Rfam family "Bacterial small subunit ribosomal RNA", at positions 28 to 524 of the family's 1533-position model. The record is from RNAcentral.
GACGAACGCUGGCGGCGCGCUUAACACAUGCAAGUCGAACGAGAAGGCGUAGCAAUACGCUUGUAAAGUGGCGAACGGGUGAGGAAUACAUGGGUAACCUACCCUCGAGUGGGGGAUAACCCGCCGAAAGGCGGGCUAAUACCGCGUACGCUUCCGAUCUUGCGGGAUCGGAAGGAAAGCUGUCCCAAGGGGAUGGCGCUCAAGGAUGGGUCUCAUGUCCUAUCAGCUUGUUGGUAGGGUAAUGGCCUACCAAGGCAUCGACGGGUAGCUGGUCUGAGAGGACGAUCAGCCACACUGGCACUGCGACACGGGCCAGACUCCUACGGGAGGCAGCAGUGAGGAAUAUUGCGCAAUGGGCGAAAGCCUGACGCAGCGACGCCGCGUGGGGGAUGAAGGUCUUCGGAUUGUAAACCCCUUUCGGGAGGGAAGACGGCCUUAGACAACUAAGGCGGACGGUACCUCCAGAAGCAGCCACGGCUAACUUCGUGCCAGCAGCCGCGGUAAC